This 943-nucleotide long non-coding RNA is filed under the name Homo sapiens (human). RNAcentral describes it as "HSALNT0306395". Lineage: Eukaryota; Metazoa; Chordata; Mammalia; Primates; Hominidae. The record is from RNAcentral.
CAUGGGCAGAAAGGUGAAAAUUGUGGCCAGAGGCAGAUUGUGGUAAAUUACAAAAUUGGCUCAUAAUCCUUUAUUCCUUCUUGCCUCCAUGCUCUUUGCAAUGUGACUUUGCCACUUUUCUCAUUAAGAGAUGGAUUCUGUUCUCCAUUGCCUUCUGUCUGGACUGGUCUUGUAACUUGUUCUGGUUAAUACAGAGGUAAAUGUGAUGACACAUCAGAAGCCCAGGCCUCAAGCAAGCUUUCCCACUUGUUCUCUUGGAACCCUUCCCAGCUAUCAGGUAAAUAAGCCCAGGCUAUUGUGCUGGAUGAUGAGAGGUCACUGGAACACUGAUGAGCCAUAACAGCUGAGGCCAUUCUAGAAUAGGCAGCUUUAGCCAACCAGGCAGCUGACUGCAGAUACAGGCCUGCAUCCAGAUGAGUCCAGAAAAGCAACCUAGACACUACUGGCAAAGACAUUGAAAAGAAUCACACUGCUAAACCAGUAGCAGCUUUUAUCUUCUUCUCAGAUUGUAUACAUGCAGGAUAAAAGUGUUUCUAACACAUAGACUUCUAUAUUCCAGCAUAAAGAUGUAUUAGGCGCAUUUAUACUUUUACAUCGAAGCCUGUUUCAACAUGAACGGAGCCCAGGGAAGUUGGUGACUUAAUCCUCGUUAUACCCUGAUUUUGGACAAAUUUUACAAGAAGAAUAGGACUUCUACUUCUCUAUGUCUACAUGCACCUGGAACAGUGCUAGGUCUAUGCUUACAAAUUGAUUGGUUCAGGUCACCGCCAUGAGCCUCAGGACAGAAAAUUGCCGGAUAUGAGAGAGAGAGAGAGAUUUGACUGGGCUAAGAAAGAAAUGAACACGAUUUAGAGAUGGAAAUGGUGACAUAUGGGCCUUUGAAGCCUCCCAUGUUCCAGAGAAGGUGAGGUUUCACCAUGUUAGUCAGGAUGGUCUCGAUCUC